Solanum dulcamara is the source of this 3248-nucleotide long non-coding RNA. RefSeq lists it as uncharacterized. The transcript has 3 exons. NCBI's taxonomy places the organism in Eukaryota, Viridiplantae, Streptophyta, Magnoliopsida, Solanales, Solanaceae. The record is from RefSeq and is a predicted model, not a curated record.
CACUACUUAUGUGGAGGAGGAGAAGAAAGAGUUAGCCAAGGAAAUGCAUAGGCUUGCAUGAGUAGGAGUUCGUCUUAUGGAUUCCGUUGAGGGAGGAGUAAUUGUUUGAAAUAGGGCUGAGCUUUAUUGGUUGUUGAGGUAAAAGAAAAGUAAGAUCAAGAUUUUAUUCUCCUCUAAUUGAAAAAUAAUGUCCAUAAGCAGAAAGUGAUGGCUUUCACCAAAUGGGGAGAUGGAGUGUUGAGAUAUCAAGGUUGGUUAUGUGUUUCUAGUGUUGAUGGUCUUCGAGACAGAAUUAUGGAAGAGGCUCAUAGCUCCAGAUAUUCAAUUAAUUCGGAUUCUACAAAGAUGUACCAUUACUUUAGAGAGCUCUAUUAGAUGAAUGGUAUGAGGAAAAACAUAAUAGAGUUUUCAUCUAAGUGCCGCACGAAUUGCGAAUAAUUAAGAGUUGAGCAUCAAAGGCCUUAUGGUGUAGCUUAUAAUACAGUGUUGCCAAAAUAGAAGUGGGAGAUGAUCAACAUGGAUUUCAUUAUAAAUUUACCCCAAUCUCGCAGACAACAUGAUUUGAUUUAGGUGAUUGUGGAUAGAAUGAAAACAUUAGCCCAUUUCUUACCUAUUAAGACUAUGGAUUCAACAGAGUAUUAUCCAAGGUUGUAUAUUCGAGAGAGAGUCAGAUUUCAUAAAGUUUUCUUGUCCAUCAUCUCAGAUAGAGGGACCCAAUUCACUUCAUAAUUUUGGAAGUCUAUCCCUAAAGGUUUGGAUUGAAAGACAAAUCUUAGCACCGCCUUCAAUCGACAAAGAGAUGGUCAAGAAGAGCAUACUAUUCAGACCCUUGAAGAUAUGUUGAGAGCAUGUGUUAUCGAUUUCAAAGGUAAUUAGGAUGAACAUUUGCCGCAAAUUGAAUUUUCUUACAACAAUAGCUUUUAUUCGAGCAUCCAAAUGACUUCAUAUAAAGCUCUUUAUAAGAUGAGAUGUAUAUCACCAAUUUGUUGAUUUGAAGUGGGAAAACUUGAGUUGAUAGGGCCAAACUUAGUUCAUCAAGCAAUGGAGAAAGAGAAGAUUAUUCAAGAAAGGAUAAAGUCUGCCAAAGUCAUAGCCAAUGCUUCUAGACAAUUAAAGGUGCAUGAGCAUAACUACCCUACUCAUGACCUUGAAUUGGCGGCCGUUGUUUUUUCUCUGAAGAUUUAGAGGCAUUACCUCUAUGGGGUGCGUAUGGAUGUGUAUACCGAUCAUAAAAGUCUUCAAUAUGUGUUCACCUAAAAAGACCUUAAUCUAAGACAAAGGAGGUGGCUAAAACUCCUUAAGGACUAUGAUAUGAGUAUGCACUAUCAUCUGAGUAAAGCCAAUGUGGUUGCCGAUGUACUUAGUUGAGUGUCUAUAGAGAGUGUGGACCAUGUGGAUGAAGGGAAGAGGGAGUUGGUAAAAUAUGUUCACUAGUUGGCUAGAUUAGGGGUGAAUUUGUGUGGUACUGAUGAUGAUGGUAUGGUUGUUCAAAAUAGGUCUGAAUCCUCUUUCGUGGUGAAUGUUAAAUCAAAGAAAGAUCUUGACCUGAUGUUUAUCGAGUUAAAGAAGUUGGUGAAGGAAAAGAAGAUAGAGGUGUUUUCCCAAGGGAGAGAUGAGGUGCUAUACUACCAAGAUCGGCUAUGUGUUCCAUAUGUUGAUGGCCUAAGGAGUUUGAUCUUGAUGGAGACUCAUAAUUCUACAUACUACAUUCAUCCCAGUUCAACGAAAAUGUACCGAGACUUAAAAGAGUUCUAUUGGUGGGGUAGCAUGAAGAAGGAUAUAACAAGGUUUAUGUCUGAAUGUCCAAAUUUCCAAUAAAUGAAGGCUGAACAUCAAAGGUCGGGUGUCCUAGCCCAAGACAUUGAAAUCCCUACUUGGAAGUGGGAAGAUAUGAAUAUGGAUUUUUAGUGGGUUUGCCUCAUACCCAGAAGCGUCACUAUUCGAUUUAGGUAAUUAUUGUUAGAAUGACUAAGUCAGCUCACUUCCUACUGAUUAAAACUUCCUAUAAUGCCGAAGACUAUGCCAAGUUGUUUAUUCGAGAGUUGGUGAGGUUGCAUGGUGUGCCGCUAUCCUUUAUCUUGGAUCGUGGUACCCAAUUCACUUCUCACUUUUGGAGAUCAUUUCAAAAGGGCCUCGGUACUAAGGUAAAAUUAAGCACUACAUUCCAUUCUCAAACAGAUGGGCAAGACGAAAGGACAAUUCAAAUACUAGAGGAUAUGUUAAAGGCUUGUAUGUUGGAGUUUGAAGGAAAUUGGGAUGAUCAUCUACCACUCAUCAAGUUUUCCUAUAAUAAUAGUUACACUGAAGUAUUGAGAUGGAGCCGUUUGAGGCCUUUUAUGGGAGACGAUAUAGAUCUCCGAUUGGUGUGUUCGAAGUAGGUGAGAUGACGUUGUUGGGCCCUGAUUUGGUACUUGAUGCUUUAGAGAAGGUGAAUAUCAUUAGAGAAAGGUUGAAUAUGGCUCAUAGUCAUCAAAAGUCCUAUUCCGACCUACAAGAAAGGAUCUUGAGUUUAAUGUGGAUGAUUGGGUAUAUCUGAAGGUUUCACCCAUGAAGGGUGUUUUUCGAUUUGGUAAGAAAGGAAAAUUGAGCCCUAGGUAUGUAGGGCCUUAUAAAAUCGUGAGACGUGUUGACAAGGUUGCAUAUGAGUUGGAGUUGCCAUUGAAAAUUGUCAUGGUUCAUCCGGUGUUCCAUGUGUCUACGUUGAGAAAAUGUGUGGGUGAUCCUAGUUCCAUUGAUCCAUUGAGAGUAGUGAAUGUUGAAGAAAACUUGACCUAUGAAGAAGUUACGGUUGAAAUUUUUGACCAGCAAGUAAAGAGAUUGAGGAACAAAGAAGUUGCAUCUGUUAAAGUCCUUUGAAAGAAUCAACAAAUUGAAAGUGCUACAUGGGAAGCGGAAGCAGCUAUGAUUAAGAGAUACCCUCAUCUUUUUUCCUCUACCCAAACCUAAGACUAUCACAUGCUUUGUCUGGAGGGGCGUCACUCUAGGUUCUAGGCUAGCGCGGCUCGCUUCGCUCUUCAAGCUCGGCCCCCCUUACUCAAGCAUAAUCUUUUGCCUAUAUGAUAUCACCAUGUAGAGACCGGUGCUCCUCCUUAUUCUCCUCCACGUGGCUAGUUGAGAUUUUCUUUGAAGACUACUUUUGGUACAGAUGUUUAUUCUGGAGAUCCAUCAGCGUAGGAGUUCCUCUCAGCUGUGUCGGAAGUGCUUCACUGUUCUGGAGCCUAAAUUUUGAUGUUGGUCACUUAAUGUAU